This is a non-coding RNA of Mus caroli (Ryukyu mouse), 723 nucleotides long. NCBI's taxonomy places the organism in Eukaryota, Metazoa, Chordata, Mammalia, Rodentia, Muridae. The record is from RefSeq and is a predicted model, not a curated record.
CUUUCUAGUCCCAUAACCUCCCAGUUUAUCGUUCGUUUCGGCCACCCAACCUGGAGACAGCAGUUGUGAAAUCUUCCCAGGCAUGUAGCUUGGCAGGUCGCCAUCAGGACUACUAGGACAGACCUGACCAAAAGUCUCACUCACUGAGCUCUCCGACCACCCUGGGGUGUCCACACACGGUUCCUCCCAUGAGAGCAGCAACUUGUUCAGAGAGCUCUUCAUAUCACCUUGGAAAAAGAUGAAAAAUGCAGUGGAAAAAUGAACAAGGGAUCUGAGUGUCAAUCAUAAACACUCAAACCUGUUCAACUUCACUUAGAAUUAGAGACUUGGAAAUCGCUGUCCAUGAAGAACCCAUCUUAAAUGGCAAGGAUCACAAGUUUGGCCACAUGCCUUACAAAAUGUUUCUAUGUAUCUGAGACAGAUGGAUGGGCUUCAAUCUAGAUCUCAGCAUCCUGCCUCAGCAUCCUAGGGUUCAAAGAUAAUUGUGCACCACCACGCCCUGUUUCUGUCACAACUCUGAAAGAAGUUCUGCAAAACACAAAUGUGUGUCCCACCUCAGCUCCAAGCAACACCUGAGGCCUGGAUGGUGACACCCAUAUCAACAACCAAAGACCUGCCACUGCCAACCCAGAUGCUCUGAGAGACCUUUGUCUGGAAGCCAUCCUCACUAGCGAUUGUAUUAGCUCAGAUUUGGAUCCCAUCAUUAAACUUUACUCUUUGACU